This 491-nucleotide ribosomal RNA is filed under the name uncultured bacterium. RNAcentral describes it as "bacterial SSU rRNA". It matches the Rfam family "Bacterial small subunit ribosomal RNA", at positions 29 to 526 of the family's 1533-position model. The record is from RNAcentral.
ACGAACGCUGGCGGCGCGCCUAACACAUGCAAGUCGAACGGAGCCUUUUGGAGUGCUUGCACUCCGGCAGGCUUAGUGGCGGACGGGUGAGUAACACGUGAGCAACCUGCCCUUCAGUGGGGGAUAACGUUCGGAAACGAACGCUAAUACCGCAUAACAUCCGGGAGUGGCAUCUCUUCCGGAUCAAAGGAUUUAUUCGCUGAAGGAUGGGCUCGCGCCCGAUUAGAUAGUUGGUGGGGUAAUGGCCCACCAAGUCUGCGAUCGGUAGCCGGACUGAGAGGUUGAUCGGCCACAUUGGGACUGAGACACGGCCCAGACUCCUACGGGAGGCAGCAGUGGGGAAUAUUGCACAAUGGGGGAAACCCUGAUGCAGCGACGCCGCGUGAGUGAAGACGGUCUUCGGAUUGUAAAGCUCUGUUGACAGGGACGAAAACUGACGGUACCUGUCGAGGAAGCCACGGCUAACUACGUGCCAGCAGCCGCAGUAAAAC